Molecule: ribosomal RNA, 481 nt
Filed under: uncultured bacterium
Lineage: Bacteria
Description: partial 16S ribosomal RNA
Rfam family: Bacterial small subunit ribosomal RNA
Source: RNAcentral
AUUGAACGCUGGCGGCAUGCUUUACACAUGCAAGUCGAACGGUAACAGGCCGCAAGGUGCUGACGAGUGGCGAACGGGUGAGUAAUGCAUCGGAACGUGCCCAGUCGUGGGGGAUAACUACUCGAAAGAGUAGCUAAUACCGCAUACGAUCUAUGGAUGAAAGCGGGGGACCGUAAGGCCUCGCGCGAUUGGAGCGGCCGAUGUCAGAUUAGGUAGUUGGUGGGGUAAAGGCUCACCAAGCCAACGAUCUGUAGCUGGUCUGAGAGGACGACCAGCCACACUGGGACUGAGACACGGCCCAGACUCCGACGGGAGGCAGCAGUGGGGAAUUUUGGACAAUGGGCGCAAGCCUGAUCCAGCAAUGCCGCGUGCAGGAAGAAGGCCUUCGGGUUGUAAACUGCUUUUGUACGGAACGAAACGGCUCUGGUUAAUACCCGGGGCUAAUGACGGUACCGUAAGAAUAAGCACCGGCUAACUACGU